This is a long non-coding RNA of Leptopilina boulardi, 782 nucleotides long. RefSeq lists it as uncharacterized. The record is from RefSeq and is a predicted model, not a curated record. The transcript is spliced from 2 exons. Lineage: Eukaryota; Metazoa; Arthropoda; Insecta; Hymenoptera; Figitidae.
CGAAAAAAAAUGAUACAAAUCGUGAUUAAAACAAUAUAAAAGAGAAGUGUUUUUUGGCAUUGAAAUGAGAAAUAUACACGAAUAUGAUGACACUUCACGUAUAUAAAACCGAUAUCGUACAUCCGUUAUCUUAGAAAUAAUGAGAAACCUUGGCAUUAUUUUCUUGCUCACACGAGGUUACUUAACCGAGUUAUGAAACAUAUAAGUGUAUUGUCUACAACCAGAUAAAUUACAGAUGUAAAAAUCUAAUUCUAAUUUUUCAUAUCUCUUUGUACCAAAAAUAUUCUAAAAUUUUCUACAUUAAGGGGGGAACACCAGUUGUAACUUUCGAAAAAUCGAAUUUUUUUUUUGUGCAUUUUCUUAAAGUAUACAUAUUUAGAAAUGUGUCUGUAAAUUUCAAAGUUGAUCCGGUGAAAAAUAAAUGAGAUAUACAGAACACUGCAGCGGCGCGUCCCGUGGCUUUAUACAAGGUGGCCAGCCAUACCUGACCCUAACGACACAUGGCCUUUUCCUAUGAUUUAGAAACGGCAACCACUGCGGAAGAGUUAUUAUAUGGUCCAGGAAUCGAUGACUCUUUGUAACUUGGAAACAAAAUUUCUCCUGAACAAAAAAAAACGAAGUAUACUUGCAGAAUGCUGGUCACCGCAAUUCGCCUUUUUUCUUAAGGCGCCACUUCAAUGGCUCAUAUCUCCAAAAGUUUUUGUUAAAAAAAUUUUUUUUUUCUUUUAAAUUACAGCUUUUUACAUGUACUUUUAACUAAUAAAUAGUAUUCUUUAAAAAGA